UACGAAGGGGGCUAGCGUUGUUCGGAAUUACUGGGCGUAAAGGGCGCGCAGGCGGCUCUUCAAGUCAGAUGUGGAAAGCCCCGGGCUCAACCUGGGAACUGCAUUUGAGACUGGGAGAGCUUGAGUUCGGGAGAGGAUGGUGGAAUUCCCAGUGUAGAGGUGAAAUUCGGUAGAUAUUGGGAAGAACACCGGUGGCGAAGGCGGCCAUCUGGACCGAUACUGACGCGUGAGG
This 232-nucleotide ribosomal RNA is filed under the name uncultured bacterium. RNAcentral's name for it is "partial 16S ribosomal RNA". It matches the Rfam family "Bacterial small subunit ribosomal RNA", at positions 524 to 751 of the family's 1533-position model. The record is from RNAcentral.